AGCGUUUUAUAACGAUUUUUAUUGAUAAAUCGAUAUGUGGCCAUUGUUUAUUGCGUUUUGAAGAGCACUCGCUUCGUCUUUCCAACAAGACGCGUAGGUUCGGCGCUCCGAUUUGCAUUUAAGCUGUCAUCUUCUCGGAAGCAGGCGCUCAUGCUUGGAGACCUGCAGAGCACGAACUGCAGCAUGUGUGGCGAGCCCGGGAGACAGCAAGAGCCACAGGAGUCCUGGACUAAGGGCGCCUCCCACACAAGCAGAAAGACACCCGCUUUUCCUUUAUUUUUUUUAAUAAAUGUUUUUCCUUCUC
Molecule: long non-coding RNA, 304 nt
Filed under: Dermacentor andersoni
Lineage: Eukaryota; Metazoa; Arthropoda; Arachnida; Ixodida; Ixodidae
Description: uncharacterized LOC126523992
Source: RNAcentral